RNAcentral lists this ribosomal RNA (465 nucleotides) under Vreelandella stevensii. RNAcentral describes it as "partial 16S ribosomal RNA". It matches the Rfam family "Bacterial small subunit ribosomal RNA", at positions 338 to 795 of the family's 1533-position model. Lineage: Bacteria; Pseudomonadati; Pseudomonadota; Gammaproteobacteria; Oceanospirillales; Halomonadaceae. The record is from RNAcentral.
CCUACGGGGGGCUGCAGUGGGGAAUAUUGGACAAUGGGGGGAACCCUGAUCCAGCCAUGCCGCGUGUGUGAAGAAGGCCCUCGGGUGGUAAAGCACUUUCAGUGAGGAAGAACGCCUGGUGGUUAAUACCCAUCAGGAAAGACAUCACUCACAGAAGAAGCACCGGCUAACUCCGUGCCAGCAGCCGCGGUAAUACGGAGGGUGCGAGCGUUAAUCGGAAUUACUGGGCGUAAAGCGCGCGUAGGUGGCUUGAUAAGCCGGUUGUGAAAGCCCCGGGCUCAACCUGGGAACGGCAUCCGGAACUGUCAAGCUAGAGUGCAGGAGAGGAAGGUAGAAUUCCCGGUGUAGCGGUGAAAUGCGUAGAGAUCGGGAGGAAUACCAGUGGCGAAGGCGGCCUUCUGGACUGACACUGACACUGAGGUGCGAAAGCGUGGGUAGCAAACAGGAUUAGAUACCCCAGUAGUC